GCUAGUAAAUUAAUUUGAUUUGAAAUCAAAUCUAUUGUUCUUGUAAAACAAUAUUAGCU
This 59-nucleotide transfer RNA is filed under the name Hymenolepis microstoma. RNAcentral's name for it is "tRNA-Ser". Lineage: Eukaryota; Metazoa; Platyhelminthes; Cestoda; Cyclophyllidea; Hymenolepididae. The record is from RNAcentral.